RNAcentral lists this ribosomal RNA (429 nucleotides) under Gemmatimonadota bacterium. RNAcentral describes it as "Gemmatimonadetes bacterium partial 16S ribosomal RNA". It matches the Rfam family "Bacterial small subunit ribosomal RNA", at positions 355 to 776 of the family's 1533-position model. The record is from RNAcentral. Lineage: Bacteria; Pseudomonadati; Gemmatimonadota.
UAGGGAAUCUUCGGCAAUGGACGAAAGUCUGACCGAGCAACGCCGCGUGAGUGAAGAAGGUUUUCGGAUCGUAAAACUCUGUUGUUAGAGAAGAACAAGGACGUUAGUAACUGAACGUCCCCUGACGGUAUCUAACCAGAAAGCCACGGCUAACUACGUGCCAGCAGCCGCGGUAAUACGUAGGUGGCAAGCGUUGUCCGGAUUUAUUGGACGUAAAGCGAGCGCAGGCGGUUUCUUAAGUCUGAUGUGAAAGCCCCCGGCUCAACCGGGGAGGGUCAUUGGAAACUGGGAGACUUGAGUGCAGAAGAGGAGAGUGGAAUUCCAUGUGUAGCGGUGAAAUGCGUAGAUAUAUGGAGGAACACCAGUGGCGAAGGCGGCUCUCUGGUCUGUAACUGACGCUGAGGCUAGAAAGCGUGGGGAGCAAACAGG